Molecule: ribosomal RNA, 505 nt
Filed under: uncultured bacterium
Lineage: Bacteria
Description: partial 16S ribosomal RNA
Rfam family: Bacterial small subunit ribosomal RNA
Source: RNAcentral
GAUGAACGCUAGCUACAGGCUUAACACAUGCAAGUCGAGGGGUAACGAGAGGAAAGCUUGCUUUCCUUGUCGACGACCGGCGCACGGGUGAGUAACGCGUAUCCAACCUGCCCCCAACUAGGGAAUAACCUUGCGAAAGUAAGACUAAUACCCUAUAAUUUCCUCAGAUGUCAUCUGACGAGGAAUAAAGAUUUAUCGGUUGUGGAUGGGGAUGCGUCUGAUUAGCUUGUUGGCGGGGUAACGGCCCACCAAGGCAACGAUCAGCAGGGGUUAUGAGAGGACGGUCCCCCACAUUGGAACUGGGACACGGGCCAAACUCCUACGGGAGGCAGCAGUGAGGAAUAUUGGUCAAUGGGCGGAAGCCUGAACCAGCCAAGUAGCGUGCAGGAUGACGGCCCUAUGGGUUGUAACUGCUUUUAUACAGGAAUAAAGUUAGCCACGUGUGGUUAUUUGUAGGUACUGUAUGAAUAAGGACCGGCUAAUUCCGUGCCAGCAGCCGCCGUAA